GGACUGCUUUCUGUGGUAUACCUGUGUCC
RNAcentral lists this non-coding RNA (29 nucleotides) under Mus musculus (house mouse). Lineage: Eukaryota; Metazoa; Chordata; Mammalia; Rodentia; Muridae. The record is from RNAcentral.